GAGCACGUAGGUGGGUUUGUAAGUCAGACGUGAAAGCCUUCUGUUCAACGGAAGAAUUGCAUCUGAAACUGCAAACCUUGAGUAUAGGAGGGGAGAAUGGAACUUCUGGUGGAGCGGUGAAAUGCGUAGAUAUCAGAAGGAACGCCGGCGGCGAAAGCGAUUCUCUGGCCUAUUACUGACACUCAGUGUGCGAAAGCUAGGGGAGCAAACGGGAUUAGAUACCCCGGUAGUCCUAGCCGUAAACGAUGGGCACUAAGUAGAGGGGUUUU
RNAcentral lists this ribosomal RNA (269 nucleotides) under uncultured Planctomycetales bacterium. RNAcentral's name for it is "partial 16S ribosomal RNA". It matches the Rfam family "Bacterial small subunit ribosomal RNA", at positions 565 to 832 of the family's 1533-position model. Lineage: Bacteria; Pseudomonadati; Planctomycetota; Planctomycetia; Planctomycetales. The record is from RNAcentral.